Molecule: ribosomal RNA, 460 nt
Filed under: uncultured bacterium
Lineage: Bacteria
Description: partial 16S ribosomal RNA
Rfam family: Bacterial small subunit ribosomal RNA
Source: RNAcentral
CCUACGGGAGGCAGCAGUGAGGAAUAUUGGUCAAUGGACGAGAGUCUGAACCAGCCAAGUAGCGUGAAGGAUGACUGCCCUAUGGGUUGUAAACUUCUUUUAUAUGGGAAUAAAAUGUUCCACGUGUGGGAUUUUGUAUGUACCAUAUGAAUAAGGAUCGGCUAACUCCGUGCCAGCAGCCGCGGUAAUACGGAGGAUCCGAGCGUUAUCCGGAUUUAUUGGGUUUAAAGGGAGCGUAGGUGGAUUGUUAAGUCAGUUGUGAAAGUUUGCAGCUCAACCGUAAAAUUGCAGUUGAAACUGGCAGUCUUGAGUACAGUAGAGGUGGGCAGAAUUCGUGGUGUAGCGGUGAAAUGCUUAGAUAUCACGAAGAACUCCGAUUGCGAAGGCAGUUCACUGGACUGCAACUGACACUGAGGCUCGAAAGUGUGGGUAUCAAACAGGAUUAGAUACCCUUGUAGUC